This 69-nucleotide transfer RNA is filed under the name Ictidomys tridecemlineatus (thirteen-lined ground squirrel). Its description in RNAcentral is "Spermophilus tridecemlineatus (thirteen-lined ground squirrel) tRNA". It matches the Rfam family "tRNA". Rfam says of the family: Transfer RNA (tRNA) molecules are approximately 80 nucleotides in length. Lineage: Eukaryota; Metazoa; Chordata; Mammalia; Rodentia; Sciuridae. The record is from Rfam by way of RNAcentral.
GGGGUUGUGGCUCAGAGGUAGAGCACUUGCCUAGCAUGCAUAAGACCCUGGGUUCAACCCUCAGCACCA